GAAACUGGGUCUAAUACCGGAUAUGACCAUCUGACGCAUGUCAUGGUGGUGGAAAGCUUUUGUGGUUUUGGAUGGACUCGCGGCCUAUCAGCUUGUUGGUGGGGUAAUGGCCUACCAAGGCGACGACGGGUAGCCGGCCUGAGAGGGUGACCGGCCACACUGGGACUGAGACACGGCCCAGACUCCUACGGGAGGCAGCAGUGGGGAAUAUUGCACAAUGGGCGGAAGCCUGAUGCAGCGACGCCGCGUGAGGGAUGACGGCCUUCGGGUUGUAAACCUCUUUCAGUAGGGAAGAAGCGAAAGUGACGGUACCUGCAGAAGAAGCGCCGGCUAACUACGUGCCAGCAGCCGCGGUAAUACGUAGGGCGCAAGCGUUAUCCGGAAUUAUUGGGCGUAAAGAGCUCGUAGGCGGUUUGUCGCGUCUGCUGUGAAAGACCGGGGCUCAACUCCGGUUCUGCAGUGGGUACGGGCAGACUAGAGUGCAGUAGGGGAGACUGGAAUUCCUGGUGUAGCGGUGAAAUGCGCAGAUAUCAGGAGGAACACCGAUGGCAAAGGCAGGUCUCUGGGCUGUAACUGACGCUGACGAUCGAAAGCAUGGGGAGCGAACAGGAUUACAUACCCUGGUAGUCCAUGCCGUAAACGUUGGGCACUAGGUGUGGGGGACAUUCCACGUUUUCCGCGCCGUAGCUAACGCAUUAAGUGCCCCGCCUGGGGAGUACGGCCGCAAGGCUAAAACUCAAAGGAAUUGACGGGGGCCCGCACAAGCGGCGGAGCAUGCGGAUUAAUUCGAUGCAACGCGAAGAACCUUACCAAGGCUUGACAUGAACCGGAAAGACCUGGAAACAGGUGCCCCGCUUGCGGUCGGUUUACAGGUGGUGCAUGGUUGUCGUCAGCUCGUGUCGUGAGAUGUUGGGUUAAGUCCCGCAACGAGCGCAACCCUCGUUCUAUGUUGCCAGCGCGUUAUGGCGGGGACUCAUAGGAGACUGCCGGGGUCAACUCGGAGGAAGGUGGGGACGACGUCAAAUCAUCAUGCCCCUUAUGUCUUGGGCUUCACGCAUGCUACAAUGGCCGGUACAAAGGGUUGCGAUACUGUGAGGUGGAGCUAAUCCCAAAAAGCCGGUCUCAGUUCGGAUUGGGGUCUGCAACUCGACCCCAUGAAGUCGGAGUCGCUAGUAAUCGCAGAUCAGCAACGCUGCGGUGAAUACGUUCCCGGGCCUUGUACACACCGCCCGUCAAGUCACGAAAGUUGGUAAC
RNAcentral lists this ribosomal RNA (1254 nucleotides) under Arthrobacter sp. RNAcentral describes it as "bacterial SSU rRNA". It matches the Rfam family "Bacterial small subunit ribosomal RNA", at positions 153 to 1418 of the family's 1533-position model. Lineage: Bacteria; Bacillati; Actinomycetota; Actinomycetes; Micrococcales; Micrococcaceae. The record is from RNAcentral.